Camelus ferus (Wild Bactrian camel) is the source of this 73-nucleotide transfer RNA. It matches the Rfam family "tRNA". From Rfam's summary of the family: Transfer RNA (tRNA) molecules are approximately 80 nucleotides in length. Their secondary structure includes four short double-helical elements and three loops (D, anti-codon, and T loops). The record is from Rfam. Lineage: Eukaryota; Metazoa; Chordata; Mammalia; Artiodactyla; Camelidae.
GGAGGGUUCAGCUCAGCAGUAGAGCACAUGCUUAACACGCACAAGGUCCUGGGUUCAAUCCCCAGUCCCUCCG